GCCCUAACAACACACAACAUUCCAGGAAUGUACUACCAAAGUUCUAUCAAUAUUUGAAUGUCCUGGACAUUUAGGGAACAUUCGGUGAACAUCUGUUUAAAUUAUUCCUGGAAUGUUACCAUAAGACAUUCUGUGAACAUACUACCAAUGUUCCUAUAUUUUAAGUUGCGAAAUAAUACAUACGUGUAACAGAUACAACAUUACUUAUAACAUACCAGACAAACUAAGUGACACUUUAGGCCUACAGUGCAAUAAUAUGUCAAAUUUAAAGAGUUUCCCAAGUUCAAUUAAUACAAUAUUAUAAACAUACAAAUGUAAUAAAAAUUAUUGUUCGCGAAUAUUCAAUUUGGAAUGCGAUUUUGUUAAUAAAAAAAAUACUUAUAACUUAUGCAAAACCCAAGAGAGGCAUUUAUAUUUAUUUCUUUUGCGUUCAUUUUCAAAUUCGCCGUGCAUAUAUUUUUGUGCAUGGCGCUUGAGAGGGCAUCACGUGACUAAAAACGACCAACCAACGACCUCGCUUCGGCCAUCUUGGCAUCUUCAUCUUGGCCACCUUGCUUUGCCGUGGGUGGGUGGAUCGUUGUUAUUUGUGCUUUUUAAGAAUAUUUUUUUAAUUCGGAUACUUUUAUAAUAGCUUUAAUAGUAUUAUUAACAUAGUGAAUAAAAUGGUGUCCUGUUUUUAACGCAGUUGGAGUAGCAGAAACAAAUAAUGUAGAUAAAAAAAUCUGCAGGAAUAACGUUUCAAUUAUGACAGAAGCUCCAAACAAAUGACUGUGAAUGAAAAGCCCUAUUAAAAGCUUUCCAGAAGAUCCUGCGAAGAAGACAUGAAGUAUAGAUCAGAUUUGUUAAUAGAGGAGUAUGUUCAAAACACUUUUUAGAAAAAGAUAUUGACAGAACUUCACUUUCAUCUGUUCGUUUAAGAGACUGUGCUGUUCCAAUAGCUUAUGUCACACAGAAUCAGCUGAGAGAAGUGGUCUACAAAAAACCAGAAAGGAAACGGAAUAUGUGGCUACGAAAAGCAAAAGAAAGGUUUACAAAGCAAAUGUGACACAUUUUUUUAUAAUAUUUAGGAAUGUCAG
Molecule: long non-coding RNA, 1076 nt
Filed under: Diabrotica virgifera virgifera (western corn rootworm)
Lineage: Eukaryota; Metazoa; Arthropoda; Insecta; Coleoptera; Chrysomelidae
Description: uncharacterized LOC126884336
Source: RNAcentral